This 253-nucleotide ribosomal RNA is filed under the name uncultured bacterium. Its description in RNAcentral is "partial 16S ribosomal RNA". It matches the Rfam family "Bacterial small subunit ribosomal RNA", at positions 524 to 776 of the family's 1533-position model. The record is from RNAcentral.
UACGAAGGACCCGAGCGUUAUCCGGAUUUAUUGGGUUUAAAGGGUGCGUAGGCGGAUUUACAAGUCAGUGGUGAAAUCUCCCAGCUUAACUGGGAAACUGCCAUUGAAACUGUUUAUCUUGAGUACAUUUGAGGCGGGCGGAAUGUGUCAUGUAGAGGUGAAAUUCGUAGAUAUUCGGAAGAACACCAGUGGCGAAGGCGGCUCACUGGACCGGUAUUGACGCUGAGGUGCGAAAGCGUGGGGAGCAAACAGG